GACGAACGCUGGCGGCGCGCCUAACACAUGCAAGUCGAACGAGCGAGAGAGAGCUUGCUUUCUCGAGCGAGUGGCGAACGGGUGAGUAACGCGUGAGGAACCUGCCUCAAAGAGGGGGACAACAGUUGGAAACGACUGCUAAUACCGCAUAAGCCCACGGGUCGGCAUCGACCAGAGGGAAAAGGAGCAAUCCGCUUUGAGAUGGCCUCGCGUCCGAUUAGCUAGUUGGUGAGGUAAUGGCCCACCAAGGCAACGAUCGGUAGCCGGACUGAGAGGUUGAACGGCCACAUUGGGACUGAGACACGGCCCAGACUCCUACGGGAGGCAGCAGUGGGGAAUAUUGCACAAUGGGGGAAACCCUGAUGCAGCGACGCCGCGUGGAGGAAGAAGGUCUUCGGAUUGUAAACUCCUGUUGUUGGGGAAGAUAAUGACGGUACCCAACAAGGAAGUGACGGCUAACUACGUGCCAGCAGCCGCGGUAAAACGUAGGUCACAAGCGUUGUCCGGAAUUACUGGGUGUAAAGGGAGCGCAGGCGGGAAGACAAGUUGGAAGUGAAAUCUAUGGGCUCAACCCAUAAACUGCUUUCAAAACUGUUUUUCUUGAGUAGUGCAGAGGUAGGCGGAAUUCCCGGUGUAGCGGUGGAAUGCGUAGAUAUCGGGAGGAACACCAGUGGCGAAGGCGGCCUACUGGGCACCAACUGACGCUGAGGCUCGAAAGUGUGGGUAGCAAACAGGAUUAGAUACCCUGGUAGUCCACACCGUAAACGAUGAUUACUAGGUGUUGGAGGAUUGACCCCUUCAGUGCCGCAGUUAACACAAUAAGUAAUCCACCUGGGGAGUACGACCGCAAGGUUGAAACUCAAAGGAAUUGACGGGGGCCCGCACAAGCAGUGGAGUAUGUGGUUUAAUUCGACGCAACGCGAAGAACCUUACCAAGUCUUGACAUCCCUUGACAGGCAUAGAAAUAUGUUUUCUCUUCGGAGCAAGGAGACAGGUGGUGCAUGGUUGUCGUCAGCUCGUGUCGUGAGAUGUUGGGUUAAGUCCCGCAACGAGCGCAACCCUUAUGGUCAGUUACUACGCAAGAGGACUCUGGCCAGACUGCCGUUGACAAAACGGAGGAAGGUGGGGAUGACGUCAAAUCAUCAUGCCCUUUAUGACUUGGGCUACACACGUACUACAAUGGCGUUAAACAAAGAGAAGCAAGACCGCGAGGUGGAGCAAAACUCAGAAACAACGUCCCAGUUCGGACUGCAGGCUGCAACUCGCCUGCACGAAGUCGGAAUUGCUAGUAAUCGUGGAUCAGCAUGCCACGGUGAAUACGUUCCCGGGCCUU
Molecule: ribosomal RNA, 1333 nt
Filed under: uncultured bacterium
Lineage: Bacteria
Description: bacterial SSU rRNA
Rfam family: Bacterial small subunit ribosomal RNA
Source: RNAcentral